UACCAGCACCCCGAGUGGUCGGGACGUUUAUUGGGUCUAAAGCAUCCGUAGCCGGUUCUACAAGUCUUCCGUUAAAUCCACCUGCUUAACAGAUGGGCUGCGGAAGAUACUAUAGAGCUAGGAGGCGGGAGAGGCAAGCGGUACUCGAUGGGUAGGGGUAAAAUCCGUUGAUCCAUUGAAGACCACCAGUGGCGAAGGCGGCUUGCCAGAACGCGCUCGACGGUGAGGGAUGAAAGCUGGGGGAGCAAACCGG
RNAcentral lists this ribosomal RNA (253 nucleotides) under uncultured bacterium. RNAcentral's name for it is "partial 16S ribosomal RNA". It matches the Rfam family "Archaeal small subunit ribosomal RNA", at positions 474 to 727 of the family's 1478-position model. The record is from RNAcentral.